GAUGUUAAUAUGAAAGUAAUGUUUUUCCUUCAGGUACACACAUGUGCCUCCAGCACUAGGUAGAUCUAUGGCCCUUCUAGUUGAUAAAAUCAACACUUGCCAAGAAAUCUUCCUUGUUGGGUCACUAUAUGGAGCCAAUCAAGAUAGGUUUGUGAGUGUCUUAGCCUACUGCACUGACAUAUAUACAGAGGCCAGCCCCAUAGUGGUUCUGGCCAAUCCCAAGGUCACUAUAAUUAAGAAAUUUGCACCAGAGCUACCCUCUCUUGGCAUUGUUUUCUGUCAUCAUCAUCAUCAUUGUUGUUAUUGUAGAUCUGGACAUCUAGGUGUUUCCAUGAGCAUAAUCUACAUCAAGGAGGUUAGGCUAAAGAGCACCUUCCCUCCCAGUUGAUUGGAAAGGUAAGAUAGGCCACAUUACCCUUGGUGAAUAGUCUGCGUGGGAUCCAAUGCUGAUGGCUAACCACAGCCAUGGCUCCCUGGGUCUGUCUGCAGGGGAGGAUCCUGGCAGUGUGUGCCAAGUGACAUGGGUGGAAGCAUGCAGCUUUUCUCAGGCUGCGGUGCUCAGUGCCUCACUUGGGUAGAUCUUAUGGGGGGAAAAAGCCUUGAGAUGCCAUCAGGAGUCUUUUUGCCAGAAGGUGAGAGAAUGAGAAAUGGGAUACCUGACUGGUUAGUGAAUCCCAUCCUGUCUGACAGGUUUUUUUUCUUGCCUGGAGAUAGGGCAUGAUGUUUACUGGGCAUACUGGAAGGCCCAACUGUUCCUCAUAGGUAGAAUUCCAGUGUUCUGAAAAUUGACGUCACACAGGGUUCAGGCUCCCUGAUUAUAGGUAGUGUUUUUAAAACAAAUGAGGAACCUAGUAUCCAGUUAAAAAAGAGCAUGGAGCUGUCACUGGACAGUGGG
Molecule: long non-coding RNA, 895 nt
Organism: Perognathus longimembris pacificus (Pacific pocket mouse)
Lineage: Eukaryota; Metazoa; Chordata; Mammalia; Rodentia; Heteromyidae
Exons: 2
Source: RefSeq, a predicted model, not a curated record